UUUCUGUUUUCGCUUAGAGAUCGUGCUAAAGCUUGGUUUUCGUCUUUGCCUAAAAAUAGUAUUGAUUCAUGGAAUAAGUGCAAAGAUGCUUUUAUCUCUAAGUAUUUUCCUCCCGCUAAGAACAUCUCUCUUAGAAAUGAUAUUAUGAAUUUUAAGCAACUUGAUCAUGAGCAUGUUGCACAAUCUUGGGAGAGGAUGAAAUUAAUGAUACGUAAUUGCCCUACACAUGGUUUGAAUUUAUGGACGAUUAUACAAAAGUUUUAUGCCGGAUUGAAUUUUGCUUCUAGAAAUCUUUUAGAUUCGGCCACGCGGGGCACUUUUUAUGGAAAUCACUUUAGGAGAAGCUACUAA
RNAcentral lists this ribosomal RNA (351 nucleotides) under Triticum aestivum (bread wheat). RNAcentral's name for it is "partial small subunit ribosomal RNA". The record is from RNAcentral. Lineage: Eukaryota; Viridiplantae; Streptophyta; Magnoliopsida; Poales; Poaceae.